GACGAACGCCGUCGGCGUGCUUAACACAUGCAAGUCGAACGGAAAGGCCCUGCUUUUGUGGGGUGCUCGAGUGGCGAACGGGUGAGUAACACGUGAGUAACCUGCCCUUGACUUUGGGAUAACUUCAGGAAACUGGGGCUAAUACCGGAUAGGAGCUCCUGCUGCAUGGUGGGGGUUGGAAAGUUUCGGCGGUUGGGGAUGGACUCGCGGCUUAUCAGCUUGUUGGUGGGGUAGUGGCUUACCAAGGCUUUGACGGGUAGCCGGCCUGAGAGGGUGACCGGCCACAUUGGGACUGAGAUACGGCCCAGACUCCUACGGGAGGCAGCAGUGGGGAAUAUUGCACAAUGGGCGGAAGCCUGAUGCAGCGACGCCGCGUGCGGGAUGACGGCCUUCGGGUUGUAAACCGCUUUCGCCUGUGACGAAGCGUGAGUGACGGUAAUGGGUAAAGAAGCACCGGCUAACUACGUGCCAGCAGCCGCGGUGAUACGUAGGGUGCGAGCGUUGUCCGGAUUUAUUGGGCGUAAAGGGCUCGUAGGUGGUUGAUCGCGUCGGAAGUGUAAUCUUGGGGCUUAACCCUGAGCGUGCUUUCGAUACGGGUUGACUUGAGGAAGGUAGGGGAGAAUGGAAUUCCUGGUGGAGCGGUGGAAUGCGCAGAUAUCAGGAGGAACACCAGUGGCGAAGGCGGUUCUCUGGGCCUUUCCUGACGCUGAGGAGCGAAAGCGUGGGGAGCGAACAGGCUUAGAUACCCUGGUAGUCCACGCUGUAAACGGUGGGUACUAGGUGUGGGGUCCAUUCCACGGGUUCCGUGCCGUAGCUAACGCUUUAAGUACCCCGCCUGGGGGGUACGGCCGCAAGGCUAAAACUCAAAGGAAUUGACGGGGCCCCGCACAAGCGGCGGAGCAUGCGGAUUAACUCGAUGCAACGCGUAGAACCUUACCUGGGUUUGACAUGGAUCGGGAGUGCUCAGAGAUGGGUGUGCCUCUUUUGGGGUCGGUUCACAGGUGGUGCAUGCCUGUCGUCAGCUCGUGUCGUGAGAUGUUGGGUUAAGUCCCGCAACGAGCGCAACCCUUGUUCACUGUUGCCAGCACGUUAUGGUGGGGACUCAGUGGAGACCGCCGGGGUCAACUCGGAGGAAGGUGGGGAUGACGUCAAGUCAUCAUGCCCCUUAUGUCCAGGGCUCCACGCAUGCUACAAUGGCUGGUACAGAGAGUGGCGAGCCUGUGAGGGUGAGCGAAUCUCGGAAAGCCGGUCUCAGUUCGGAUUGGGGUCUGCAACUCGACCUCAUGAAGUCGGAGUCGCUAGUAAUCGCAGAUCAGCAACGCUGCGGUGAAUACGUCCCCGGGGCU
This 1346-nucleotide ribosomal RNA is filed under the name uncultured bacterium. RNAcentral's name for it is "bacterial SSU rRNA". It matches the Rfam family "Bacterial small subunit ribosomal RNA", at positions 28 to 1381 of the family's 1533-position model. The record is from RNAcentral.